AUUUUGAAGGUUCGAUUCCUUUACACUCCCAGCUACUCAGUUGUUGAUUGUUUGAAAUUUUCAUUUUUUUGUUUGGUAGAUCAUGUGUUUAAUAGAGCAUGUUUGCUGAGAUUGCAUAGUCUAGCUGUACUUAUUUUUACUUAAUGUUAUUGUUGCUUCUUUGAUAAUGGAGUGGCCUUUUUUUAAUGUAUUAGUCACUUAAAAUGAGAAGCAUAUAUCAAAAGAACUGCCAGUUUUAAACAGCAUAAUUUGCUUCUUUAGCAUUGUGCUACCUGUCUCCUGGUAAAUUCUCUUAUUUGUCGCUGUAGGUUUGGUUCUAAAUCAGGCUUUGUGAAAUUAAUAGCCUUUAAAAAUUCUAAAUGAACUUGGUUUUCUAGUAUGUGUAAUAAAUGAUGAAUUGUAGUAGGGUCGUGCUUGGCUCUUUCACAGGUUGCCAUGUUUUUGUUCUGCUAAAGACUUGCCAGUUGCCACUCUCAUUUUAUGCGUCCAUUUGUUCUGAUUGACGUUUGACUGAAUAAUCUAUGUUGUCAUUCUGCAUACCAUCCCAA
RNAcentral lists this unclassified non-coding RNA (548 nucleotides) under Hevea brasiliensis (rubber tree). The stretch from base 152 to 290 matches the Rfam family "small nucleolar RNA snoR137". Lineage: Eukaryota; Viridiplantae; Streptophyta; Magnoliopsida; Malpighiales; Euphorbiaceae. The record is from RNAcentral.